This 350-nucleotide ribosomal RNA is filed under the name uncultured bacterium. RNAcentral's name for it is "bacterial SSU rRNA". It matches the Rfam family "Bacterial small subunit ribosomal RNA", at positions 1040 to 1391 of the family's 1533-position model. The record is from RNAcentral.
GCUGCAUGGCUGUCGUCAGCUCGUGUCGUGAGAUGUUGGGUUAAGUCCCGCAACGAGCGCAACCCUCACUUUUAGUUGCCAUCGUUUAGUUGGGCACUCUGAAAGAACUGCCAGUGAUAAGCUGGAGGAAGGUGGGGAUGACGUCAAGUCCUCAUGGCCCUUACGUGUUGGGCUACACACGUGCUACAAUGGCAUUUACAACAGGAAGCAAAACGGCGACGUUAAGCAAAUCCUAAAAAAAUGCCUCAGUUCGGAUUGUACUCUGCAACUCGAGUACAUGAAGCUGGAAUUAGCUAGUAAUCGCGGAUCAGCGCGCCGCGGUGAAUACGUUCCCGGGUCUUGUACACACG